RNAcentral lists this ribosomal RNA (456 nucleotides) under uncultured soil bacterium. RNAcentral's name for it is "bacterial SSU rRNA". It matches the Rfam family "Bacterial small subunit ribosomal RNA", at positions 26 to 484 of the family's 1533-position model. The record is from RNAcentral.
AGGAUGAACGCUGGCGGCGUGCUUAACACAUGCAAGUCGAACGAUGAUGCCAGCUUGCUGGUGGAUUAGUGGCGAACGGGUGAGUAACACGUGAGUAACCUGCCCUUAACUCUGGGAUAAGCCUGGGAAACUGGGUCUAAUACCGGAUAUGACUCCUCAUCGCAUGGUGGGGGGUGGAAAGCUUUUUGUGGUUUUGGAUGGACUCGCGGCCUAUCAGCUUGUUGGUGAGGUAAUGGCUCACCAAGGCGACGACGGGUAGCCGGCCUGAGAGGGUGACCGGCCACACUGGGACUGAGACACGGCCCAGACUCCGUACGGGAGGCAGCAGUGGGGAAUAUUGCACAAGUGGGCGAAAGCCUAGAUGCAGCGACGCCGCGUGGAGGGAUGGACGGCCGUUCGGGUUACGUAACCUUCGUUACGAGGUAGGAAGAAGGACGAAAGUGACGGUACGUCGAC